GGAGCUUGCUCCUUUGACGUUAGCGGCGGACGGGUGAGUAACACGUGGGUAACCUACCUAUAAGACUGGAAUAACUCCGGGAAACCGGGGCUAAUGCCGGAUAACAUUUAGAACCGCAUGGUUCUAAAGUGAAAGAUGGUUUUGCUAUCACUUAUAGAUGGACCCGCGCCGUAUUAGCUAGUUGGUAAGGUAACGGCUUACCAAGGCAACGAUACGUAGCCGACCUGAGAGGGUGAUCGGCCACACUGGAACUGAGACACGGUCCAGACUCCUACGGGAGGCAGCAGUAGGGAAUCUUCCGCAAUGGGCGAAAGCCUGACGGAGCAACGCCGCGUGAGUGAUGAAGGUCUUCGGAUCGUAAAACUCUGUUAUUAGGGAAGAACAAAUGUGUAAGUAACUGUGCACGUCUUGACCGUACC
This 419-nucleotide ribosomal RNA is filed under the name Staphylococcus cohnii. RNAcentral describes it as "bacterial SSU rRNA". It matches the Rfam family "Bacterial small subunit ribosomal RNA", at positions 75 to 479 of the family's 1533-position model. The record is from RNAcentral. Lineage: Bacteria; Bacillati; Bacillota; Bacilli; Caryophanales; Staphylococcaceae.